This 2903-nucleotide ribosomal RNA is filed under the name Salmonella enterica. RNAcentral describes it as "23S ribosomal RNA". It matches the Rfam family "Bacterial large subunit ribosomal RNA". Lineage: Bacteria; Pseudomonadati; Pseudomonadota; Gammaproteobacteria; Enterobacterales; Enterobacteriaceae. The record is from RNAcentral.
UUAAGCGACUAAGCGUACACGGUGGAUGCCCUGGCAGUCAGAGGCGAUGAAGGGCGUACUAAUCUGCGAUAAGCGCCGGUAAGGUGAUAUGAACCGUUAUAACCGGCGAUACCCGAAUGGGGAAACCCAGUGUGACUCGUCACACUAUCAUUAACUGAAUCCAUAGGUUAAUGAGGCGAACCGGGGGAACUGAAACAUCUAAGUACCCCGAGGAAAAGAAAUCAACCGAGAUUCCCCCAGUAGCGGCGAGCGAACGGGGAGGAGCCCAGAGCCUGAAUCAGCAUGUGUGUUAGUGGAAGCGUCUGGAAAGGCGCGCGAUACAGGGUGACAGCCCCGUACACAAAAGCGCAUGUGCUGUGAGCUCGAUGAGUAGGGCGGGACACGUGGUAUCCUGUCUGAAUAUGGGGGGACCAUCCUCCAAGGCUAAAUACUCCUGACUGACCGAUAGUGAACCAGUACCGUGAGGGAAAGGCGAAAAGAACCCCGGCGAGGGGAGUGAAAAAGAACCUGAAACCGUGUACGUACAAGCAGUGGGAGCACAGGUUUACCUGUGUGACUGCGUACCUUUUGUAUAAUGGGUCAGCGACUUAUAUUCUGUAGCAAGGUUAACCGAAUAGGGGAGCCGGAGGGAAACCGAGUCUUAAUUGGGCGUUAAGUUGCAGGGUAUAGACCCGAAACCCGGUGAUCUAGCCAUGGGCAGGUUGAAGGUUGGGUAACACUAACUGGAGGACCGAACCGACUAAUGUUGAAAAAUUAGCGGAUGACCUGUGGCUGGGGGUGAAAGGCCAAUCAAACCGGGAGAUAGCUGGUUCUCCCCGAAAGCUAUUUAGGUAGCGCCUCGUGAAUUCAUCUCCGGGGGUAGAGCACUGUUUCGGCUAGGGGGCCAUCCCGGCUUACCAACCCGAUGCAAACUGCGAAUACCGGAGAAUGUUAUCACGGGAGACACACGGCGGGUGCUAACGUCCGUCGUGAAGAGGGAAACAACCCAGACCGCCAGCUAAGGUCCCAAAGUCAUGGUUAAGUGGGAAACGAUGUGGGAAGGCCCAGACAGCCAGGAUGUUGGCUUAGAAGCAGCCAUCAUUUAAAGAAAGCGUAAUAGCUCACUGGUCGAGUCGGCCUGCGCGGAAGAUGUAACGGGGCUAAACCAUGCACCGAAGCUGCGGCAGCGACACUGUGUGUUGUUGGGUAGGGGAGCGUUCUGUAAGCCUGCGAAGGUGGCCUGUGAGGGUUGCUGGAGGUAUCAGAAGUGCGAAUGCUGACAUAAGUAACGAUAAAGCGGGUGAAAAGCCCGCUCGCCGGAAGACCAAGGGUUCCUGUCCAACGUUAAUCGGGGCAGGGUGAGUCGACCCCUAAGGCGAGGCCGAAAGGCGUAGUCGAUGGGAAACGGGUUAAUAUUCCCGUACUUGGUGUUACUGCGAAGGGGGGACGGAGAAGGCUAUGUUGGCCGGGCGACGGUUGUCCCGGUUUAAGCGUGUAGGCUGGUUUUCCAGGCAAAUCCGGAAAAUCAAGGCUGAGGCGUGAUGACGAGGCACUACGGUGCUGAAGCAACAAAUGCCCUGCUUCCAGGAAAAGCCUCUAAGCAUCAGGUAACAUCAAAUCGUACCCCAAACCGACACAGGUGGUCAGGUAGAGAAUACCAAGGCGCUUGAGAGAACUCGGGUGAAGGAACUAGGCAAAAUGGUGCCGUAACUUCGGGAGAAGGCACGCUGACACGUAGGUGAAGUGAUUUACUCAUGGAGCUGAAGUCAGUCGAAGAUACCAGCUGGCUGCAACUGUUUAUUAAAAACACAGCACUGUGCAAACACGAAAGUGGACGUAUACGGUGUGACGCCUGCCCGGUGCCGGAAGGUUAAUUGAUGGGGUCAGCGCAAGCGAAGCUCCUGAUCGAAGCCCCGGUAAACGGCGGCCGUAACUAUAACGGUCCUAAGGUAGCGAAAUUCCUUGUCGGGUAAGUUCCGACCUGCACGAAUGGCGUAAUGAUGGCCAGGCUGUCUCCACCCGAGACUCAGUGAAAUUGAACUCGCUGUGAAGAUGCAGUGUACCCGCGGCAAGACGGAAAGACCCCGUGAACCUUUACUAUAGCUUGACACUGAACAUUGAGCCUUGAUGUGUAGGAUAGGUGGGAGGCUUUGAAGUGUGGACGCCAGUCUGCAUGGAGCCGACCUUGAAAUACCACCCUUUAAUGUUUGAUGUUCUAACGUGGACCCGUUACCCGGGUUGCGGACAGUGUCUGGUGGGUAGUUUGACUGGGGCGGUCUCCUCCUAAAGAGUAACGGAGGAGCACGAAGGUUGGCUAAUCCUGGUCGGACAUCAGGAGGUUAGUGCAAUGGCAUAAGCCAGCUUGACUGCGAGCGUGACGGCGCGAGCAGGUGCGAAAGCAGGUCAUAGUGAUCCGGUGGUUCUGAAUGGAAGGGCCAUCGCUCAACGGAUAAAAGGUACUCCGGGGAUAACAGGCUGAUACCGCCCAAGAGUUCAUAUCGACGGCGGUGUUUGGCACCUCGAUGUCGGCUCAUCACAUCCUGGGGCUGAAGUAGGUCCCAAGGGUAUGGCUGUUCGCCAUUUAAAGUGGUACGCGAGCUGGGUUUAGAACGUCGUGAGACAGUUCGGUCCCUAUCUGCCGUGGGCGCUGGAGAACUGAGGGGGGCUGCUCCUAGUACGAGAGGACCGGAGUGGACGCAUCACUGGUGUUCGGGUUGUCAUGCCAAUGGCACUGCCCGGUAGCUAAAUGCGGAAGAGAUAAGUGCUGAAAGCAUCUAAGCACGAAACUUGCCCCGAGAUGAGUUCUCCCUGAGACUUAGAGUCUCCUGAAGGAACGUUGAAGACGACGACGUUGAUAGGCCGGGUGUGUAAGCGCAGCGAUGCGUUGAGCUAACCGGUACUAAUGAACCGUGAGGCUUAACCUU